RNAcentral lists this ribosomal RNA (262 nucleotides) under uncultured bacterium. RNAcentral describes it as "partial 16S ribosomal RNA". It matches the Rfam family "Bacterial small subunit ribosomal RNA", at positions 793 to 1055 of the family's 1533-position model. The record is from RNAcentral.
GUCCACGCCGUAAACGAUGGGUGCUAGGUGUAGGGGUGUCGACUCCCUCUGUGCCGAAGCUAACGCAUUAAGCACCCCGCCUGGGGAGUACGGCCGCAAGGCUAAAACUCAAAGGAAUUGACGGGGGCCCGCACAAGCAGCGGAGCAUGUGGUUUAAUUCGACGCGACGCGAAGAACCUUACCUGGGCUUGACAUGCACGGGAAUGUCGUAGAAAUACGGCAGCCCUUCGGGGCUCGUGCACAGGUGUUGCAUGGCUGUCGU